Molecule: ribosomal RNA, 301 nt
Filed under: uncultured bacterium
Lineage: Bacteria
Description: partial 16S ribosomal RNA
Rfam family: Bacterial small subunit ribosomal RNA
Source: RNAcentral
CAGUCGCCACGGGAAUACAGAGGGUGCAAGCGUUAAUCGGAUUUACUGGGCGUAAAGCGUGCGUAGGUGGCUGUUUAAGUCGGAUGUGAAAGCCCUGGGCUUAACCUGGGAACUGCAUUCGAUACUGGAUAGCUAGAGAUCGGUGGAGGGCAGCGGAAUUCCGGGUGUAGCGGUGAAAUGCGUAGAUAUCCGGAGGAACACCGAUGGCGAAGGCAACUGCCUGGGCCUGAUCUGACACUGAGGCACGAAAGCGUGGGUAGCAAACAGGAUUAGAUACCCCAGUAGUCCCUGUCUCUUAUAC